Cheilinus undulatus (humphead wrasse) is the source of this 1628-nucleotide long non-coding RNA. RefSeq lists it as uncharacterized. The transcript is spliced from 4 exons. Lineage: Eukaryota; Metazoa; Chordata; Actinopteri; Labriformes; Labridae. The record is from RefSeq and is a predicted model, not a curated record.
ACCACUACAAAAUGGCGUAUUCACUAUAUAGUGAAUAGGGAGUGAUUUCGGACACAGCCUCUGUCGUUUUUAUUAGCACUAGAAACAAGCUAACACCCUAGCUAAGCCAACUGAUUGAAAAGGUCAGGCCCGCCCACUUUUUGUCGACGGAGGUCAUGUAGAAACGAGGGAUGAACAGAAAUCUCAGAAGUGACUUCAUGUUUUCUGUCAGUGCUGCUAUUUUGGUGCUUUUAAACCGUAGCCUAACACUCUCUACAAGCCAGGUCCGUCGAAAUGUAUGUUUUGUUUUUAAGUGGAAGGUGGAAGAGGUUCACCUGGAGAUAUACUAACCCCCGACAGGGACCCUGUGACUGCAGCCAUAGAAGAGAGAGCUACUGCAGUGUUAGAAUUUCUCCUUGGGCCACAGUUCGGUGGCGCUGUGGGGGGAGCGUGCUGCCUGGAUCUCCUUCACAGGCUGCUGAAGGCUGCAUAGCAGAAGCCCGGUUGAAUGGCACCGGAAAAGGGCAGCGGGCGAACUGCAUUCACUCCCUGUUCACGUAAUGAAAGGCGCAGACGAAGAACGAGGUGCAGGCUGCAGAGACCGAACACGUCUUUGUAACACAUUUGCCCAAGAGGUUUUGCCAUGUGUGGCCUGUGCAGCAUGCCCUCCCCAACACAGCAGGUGCUCCGCCCCUCCCACCAGAGCAGCUCUCACUUUAAUUUAAGUGCAGAGCAGAGGGAGCCACUGAAUGACUCCAGCUUGUUUGAAGAGGAAGAGAGACAAAGGUGAUGGAAAAGCAGCAGCUGGUUAACAAAAAAGGUAGAACAACUGGCGAUGCUGCGAAAAAAAAACAUGAUUCAUGUCAGAAUCAUGCAUGUUAAUGUCAGUGAUUCUGAAUCUAUUCAAAAUUUCCAAGAAUCAAUAUUGUAAACAUACUUUAUCACAUCCUAAGUGUAUUUUCAACCUCAGACCCGCUUCCUCUGGGUGCUGUCUUAGACACAGGUGCUGCAGCAGAUGUACGGCUUGUUAACUGCACUGUUAGCAUUAGCAGCGCUAGCUCUUAGUGUUGGUAAUGUUUACAGUGCUGUAUCUGACACACAUACUUACACACUGCACUGUCUGACCUGCACAGAUUUCUGUGCUAAACUAAACUAAUGUAGCCAACUUCAGGAAUGGUUCAUAUGCCCAAACUAACAUCAUACAGACACAUUCACCUGGAGCGAAUAGCAACUGACAGCUGCUGAUCAGCACAGACUAUAAAAAUAACUGGACCUAUCAUCUGUUUCAUGUCAAUUGACUGGUGUUAUGGUUCAACAAGUGACCAUGUUAACUGGUGACUGUAUGAAUGCAUCUGAUAAUAGAUAUCAAAACCGUGGAGAGCCUCUUGGUUUAGUUUUUUAAUAAAUGAUAUCUCCUAAGCAUAUCUUAGACAUUACAGAAAACCACAGAAAAUGUGGUUUAACAGUGUUGUAAUUACAACAAGCACUGACACUUUCAACUUAAAAGUCACCAGUUAACACGGCCACAUGUUAAAACAUAACACCUGCUCUUCAACAGUGACGACUUGGGAUUUAUGAUUGUUUUUUUUCUGCUGAUUGUCCGAUAAAAACAUUUCCUGCUUAAGCCCACACAUUUUAUUCAUAUUAAA